GAGGCUUUUUGGGAGCUCACUGACUUCGGGUUCCGUCGAAACUCCGAAGUUAAGCGAGUUCGCGCGAGAGCAAUCCCAUGAUGGGUGACCCACUGCGAAGUUCUUGUGUGAGUUCCCAAAAACAAAACCAUGACGACAUGGUUUGGGCCCAAAGCGAACAAUAUCUUGCUAUGGCGGAGUCGAACCCGGAAUGUGGUGGGGGCCCAGGCCGGGAUGUGACAAUUUGGUAUCAGAGCCAAUCCUUGGGCGGAAAUGUACCGACGAGGACGUUGGGCCCUUAAGGUGGUGGAUUGUAAGAUCCCACACCGCCUAGGGGUGAGGAUCCUGUAAGCCUUAUAUAUAUAUUCCCAUGUCUACCUAGCACCAGACUUUUUGGGAGCUCACUGGCUUCGGGUUCUGUCGGAACUCCGAAGUUAAGUGAGUUCAUGCGAGAGCAAUUCCAUGAUGGGUGACUCACUGGGAAGUUAUCGUGUGAGUU
This 478-nucleotide small RNA is filed under the name Malus domestica (apple). The record is from RNAcentral. Lineage: Eukaryota; Viridiplantae; Streptophyta; Magnoliopsida; Rosales; Rosaceae.